UACGUAGGGGGCAAGCGUUAUCCGGAUUUACUGGGUGUAAAGGGUGCGUAGGCGGCUUGGUAAGUCAGAUGUGGAAUCCAUGGGCUCAACCCAUGAACCGCAUUUGAAACUAUCGAGCUUGAGUGAAGUAGAGGCAGGCGGAAUUCCCUGUGUAGCGGUGAAAUGCGUAGAGAUAGGGAGGAACACCAGUGGCGAAGGCGGCCUGCUGGGCUUUAACUGACGCUGAGGCACGAAAGCGUGGGUAGCAAAC
Molecule: ribosomal RNA, 250 nt
Filed under: uncultured prokaryote
Description: partial 16S ribosomal RNA
Rfam family: Bacterial small subunit ribosomal RNA
Source: RNAcentral